ACAAGCGGUGGAGGAUGUGGUUCAAUUCGAAGCAACGCGAAGAACCUUACCUGGGUUUGACAUCUAGGGAACCUUCUGGAAACAGAGGGGUGCUCCGCAAGGAGAGCCCUAAGACAGGUGCUGCAUGGCUGUCGUCAGCUCGUGCCGUGAGGUGUUGGGUUAAGUCCCGCAACGAGCGCAACCCUUGUCACUAGUUGCCAUCAUUUGGUUGGGCACUCUAGUGAGACUGCCGGUGACAAACCGGAGGAAGGUGGGGGAUGACGUCAAGUCCUCAUGGCCCUUAUGGGUAGGGCUUCACACGUCAUACAAUGGUCGGUACAGAGGGUUGCCAAGCCGCGAGGUGGAGCCAAUCCCUUAAAGCCGAUCGUAGUCCGGAUCGUAGUCUGCAACUCGACUACGUGAAGUCGGAAUCGCUAGUAAUCGCAGAUCAGCAUGCUGUGGUGAAUACGUUCCCGGGUCUU
This 461-nucleotide ribosomal RNA is filed under the name uncultured Syntrophaceae bacterium. Its description in RNAcentral is "bacterial SSU rRNA". It matches the Rfam family "Bacterial small subunit ribosomal RNA", at positions 925 to 1382 of the family's 1533-position model. The record is from RNAcentral. Lineage: Bacteria; Pseudomonadati; Thermodesulfobacteriota; Syntrophia; Syntrophales; Syntrophaceae.